This 397-nucleotide ribosomal RNA is filed under the name uncultured bacterium. RNAcentral describes it as "bacterial SSU rRNA". It matches the Rfam family "Bacterial small subunit ribosomal RNA", at positions 30 to 429 of the family's 1533-position model. The record is from RNAcentral.
AUUGAACGCUGGCGGCAUGCCUUACACAUGCAAGUCGAACGGCAGCACGGGGGCAACCCUGGUGGCGAGUGGCGAACGGGUGAGUAACGCAUCGGAAUGUACCCAGUAGUGGGGGAUAACUAGUCGAAAGAUUAGCUAAUACCGCAUACGCACUGAGGUGGAAAGCGGGGGAUCGCAAGACCUCGCGCUAUUGGAGCAGCCGAUGUCCGAUUAGGUAGUUGGUGGGGUAAAGGCCUACCAAGCCUGCGAUCGGUAACUGGUCUGAGAGGACGACCAGUCACACUGGGACUGAGACACGGCCCAGACUCCUACGGGAGGCAGCAGUGGGGAAUUUUGGACAAUGGGCGCAAGCCUGAUCCAGCAAUGCCGCGUGUGUGAAGAAGGCCUCGGUUGUAAG